This 430-nucleotide ribosomal RNA is filed under the name Acidobacteriota bacterium. RNAcentral's name for it is "Acidobacteria bacterium partial 16S ribosomal RNA". It matches the Rfam family "Bacterial small subunit ribosomal RNA", at positions 355 to 776 of the family's 1533-position model. The record is from RNAcentral. Lineage: Bacteria; Pseudomonadati; Acidobacteriota.
UGGGGAAUAUUGGACAAUGGGCGCAAGCCUGAUCCAGCCAUGCCGCGUGUGUGAAGAAGGCCUUUUGGUUGUAAAGCACUUUAAGCGAGGAGGAGGCUACUUGGAUUAAUACUCUAAGAUAGUGGACGUUACUCGCAGAAUAAGCACCGGCUAACUCUGUGCCAGCAGCCGCGGUAAUACAGAGGGUGCGAGCGUUAAUCGGAUUUACUGGGCGUAAAGCGUGCGUAGGCGGCUUCUUAAGUCGGAUGUGAAAUCCCUGAGCUUAACUUAGGAAUUGCAUUCGAUACUGGGAAGCUAGAGUACGGGAGAGGAUGGUAGAAUUCCAGGUGUAGCGGUGAAAUGCGUAGAGAUCUGGAGGAAUACCGAUGGCGAAGGCAGCCAUCUGGCCUAAUACUGACGCUGAGGUACGAAAGCAUGGGGAGCAAACAGG